GCCCGGGUACCCCAACUGGCAGAGGGAAUCGGCUCAAACCCGACUCAGUGUGGGUUCGAAUCCCACCCCGGGCA
RNAcentral lists this transfer RNA (74 nucleotides) under Actinomycetota bacterium. Its description in RNAcentral is "tRNA-Leu". It matches the Rfam family "tRNA". Rfam says of the family: Transfer RNA (tRNA) molecules are approximately 80 nucleotides in length. Their secondary structure includes four short double-helical elements and three loops (D, anti-codon, and T loops). The record is from RNAcentral. Lineage: Bacteria; Bacillati; Actinomycetota. RNAcentral also lists the same sequence under 1 other name.